ACUGGGUGUGGUAGACUGUACCUGUAGUCCCAGAUAGUUGGGAGGCUGAGGAAGGAGGAUUGCCUGAGCCCAGGAGUUCUGAACUGCAGUGCACUACGUCAAUCAAUUGUCCACACUAAGUUCAGCAUAUAGUGACCUCCAGGGAGCAGGGGACCUCCAGGUUGCCUAAGGAGGGAUAAACUGGCCCAGGCUGGAAAUGAAGCAGGUCAAAACUCCCAUGCUGGUCAGCAGUAGGACUGCGCCUGUGAACAGCCACUGCACUCCAGUCUGGGCAACAUAUCUCUAUU
Molecule: signal recognition particle RNA, 287 nt
Filed under: Prolemur simus (greater bamboo lemur)
Lineage: Eukaryota; Metazoa; Chordata; Mammalia; Primates; Lemuridae
Description: Metazoan signal recognition particle RNA (ENSPSMG00000016202.1)
Rfam family: Metazoan signal recognition particle RNA
About the family: The signal recognition particle (SRP) is a universally conserved ribonucleoprotein. It is involved in the co-translational targeting of proteins to membranes. The eukaryotic SRP consists of a 300-nucleotide 7S RNA and six proteins: SRPs 72, 68, 54, 19, 14, and 9.
Source: Rfam by way of RNAcentral